CCAGACUCCUACGGGAGGCAGCAGUAGGGAAUCUUCCACAAUGGGCGAAAGCCUGAUGGAGCAACGCCGCGUGUGUGAUGAAGGCUUUCGGGUCGUAAAGCACUGUUGUAUGGGAAGAACAGCUAGAAUAGGGAAUGAUUUUAGUUUGACGGUACCAUACCAGAAAGGGACGGCUAAAUACGUGCCAGCAGCCGCGGUAAUACGUAUGUCCCGAGCGUUAUCCGGAUUUAUUGGGCGUAAAGCGAGCGCAGACGGUUGAUUAAGUCUGAUGUGAAAGCCCGGAGCUCAACUCCGGAAUGGCAUUGGAAACUGGUUAACUUGAGUGCAGUAGAGGUAAGUGGAACUCCAUGUGUAGCGGUGGAAUGCGUAGAUAUAUGGAAGAACACCAGUGGCGAAGGCGGCUUACUGGACUGUAACUGACGUUGAGGCUCGAAAGUGUGGGUAGCAAACAGGAUUAGAUACCCUGGUAGUCCACACCGUAAACGAUGAACACUAGGUGUUAGGAGGUUUCCGCCUCUUAGUGCCGAAGCUAACGCAUUAAGUGUUCCGCCUGGGGAGUACGACCGCAAGGUUGAAACUCAAAGGAAUUGACGGGGGCCCGCACAAG
This 607-nucleotide ribosomal RNA is filed under the name uncultured bacterium. RNAcentral's name for it is "bacterial SSU rRNA". It matches the Rfam family "Bacterial small subunit ribosomal RNA", at positions 331 to 929 of the family's 1533-position model. The record is from RNAcentral.